RNAcentral lists this long non-coding RNA (363 nucleotides) under Mytilus galloprovincialis (Mediterranean mussel). The record is from RNAcentral. Lineage: Eukaryota; Metazoa; Mollusca; Bivalvia; Mytilida; Mytilidae.
CAUAUAUUGAAUAGGUAAAAAUUUAACCUUUUCCCCAUAUUGAUUAGGUUUCAUGUGCGUGUUGGAAAAGUGGAAUACCAAAUUGUCAAAAGAGGAAAACUUGUGGAUAACAGAUCAACCAGGAACACAUAGAAAGAUGACAGAAAAACUUUAUUAACCUUAUUAUUUAUUUCUGAUAUAUUUCCCCACCUUUUUACAUAUUUUCAAACUAGAAGAUGUGCUUUAUUCCAGCAGCAUGUCCUAUCACCUUAUAUGUAGAAAGGGCCUCUCCCCCUAAGAUAUACACAAGACAUUUUAAUCAGUUGACUUUCUUUCAAAGUUAUUUGAAGUCAGGAAUUUGGUAAGAUUUUGUUUGCCCAAUUA